Molecule: ribosomal RNA, 497 nt
Filed under: uncultured bacterium
Lineage: Bacteria
Description: bacterial SSU rRNA
Rfam family: Bacterial small subunit ribosomal RNA
Source: RNAcentral
AGUGAACGCUGGCGGCAGGCCUAAUACAUGCAAGUCGAACGGCAGCACAGCAGAGCUUGCUCUGUGGGUGGCGAGUGGCGGACGGGUGAGGAAUACAUGGGAAUCUGCCCAGUCGUGGGGAUAACGUAGGGAAACUUACGCUAAUACCGCAUGCGCCCUUCGGGGAAAGCCGGGGACCGUAAGGCCUGGCGCGAUUGGAUGAGCCCAUGUCGGAUUAGCUAGUUGGCGGGGUAAAGGCCCACCAAGGCGACGAUCCGUAGCUGGUCUGAGAGGAUGAUCAGCCACACUGGAACUGAGACACGGUCCAGACUCCUACGGGAGCAGCAGUAGGGAAUAUUGGACAAUGGGCGCAAGCCUGAUCCAGCCAUGCCGCGUGAGUGAAGAAGGCCCUCGGGUUGUAAAGCUCUUUUGUCCGGAAAGAAAAGCGCCGGGUUAAUACCCUGGUGUCCUGACGGUACCGGAAGAAUAAGCACCGGCUAACUUCGUGCCAGCAGCCG